Molecule: RNA transcript, 3924 nt
Organism: Zea mays
Lineage: Eukaryota; Viridiplantae; Streptophyta; Magnoliopsida; Poales; Poaceae
Gene name: Putative MYB DNA-binding domain superfamily protein
Exons: 14
Source: RefSeq, a predicted model, not a curated record
UUGAAAAGCCCCGAAGCGGCAGUCGCACUGGCCGCCCGUAUGGCUCAGAUUCACAUCGAUUCCGACAUCCCAACCGUCCUUGCCCCUCCGCUCCGUGCUUCUUCAGUUCUUCCUCUCUGUCACCCAGUCACCCUACCCCGUUCGUUGGCCUCCGCUGCGAAAUUUAAAACCUCCCAAGCAGAGCGACGCCCAGAGAAGCCAAGACCCUAUUUCCCCAUAUUAUUAAUAAAAUUGGCUUUGGUGGAAAAAAGCCUUCCCUUUUGGCCUGCGCAAUUCGAGAUUCCGGAGGACCACGGCGGCGGCCGGAUCGGGGUGGCGGCGCGGUUCGGUCGCCGCUGAGCGGAGCUGAUGCGCCGCGCCUCCUGUGAGACAAUGGCCACUUCUCCCCAAGCGAAAAAAAUCUGCUAGAAGACCUUAGAGGGUUUUAACAUUGGGAUGGAUAUUUGGGCCCUUACCUUGCUUUAAGUGGAGAUUCAGUUUUCUGUUUUCACUUAAUAUGACAACUGAAGAGCGAAAGACUUUGAAGGGCACAGAGUCUUCAGCUCCUUCUGUUCCUCCUGAUGGAGGAGUCAGCAAGGAACCUCAAAAAGGGGGGAGAUUAUCCAAUGGGAGGACAACUGGUCCAGCACGCCGCUCAUCCAAGGGCAACUGGACUCUAGAAGAGGAUGACAUACUUCGCAAAGCUGUUGAAACCUACAAGGGAAAAAAUUGGAAAAAGAUAGCUGAAUGUUUUCCAGGUAGGACUGAUGUUCAAUGUUUGCAUAGAUGGCAGAAGGUUUUGAACCCUGAGCUUGUUAAAGGGCCUUGGUCGAAAGAAGAAGAUGAGAUCAUUACUCAGAUGGUAAAUAAACUUGGGCCAAAGAAAUGGUCGACCAUUGCCCAAGCUCUUCCUGGACGUAUUGGAAAGCAAUGUCGGGAAAGAUGGCACAACCAUCUUAAUCCUGGGAUCAAUAAGGACGCAUGGACACAAGACGAGGAAAUCAGGCUCAUCCAUGCUCAUCAAACUUAUGGAAACAAAUGGGCUGAAUUGACAAAGUUUUUACCAGGAAGGACAGACAAUGCAAUUAAAAAUCAUUGGCACAGCUCGGUGAAGAAGAAAGUUGAUUCAUACAGAUCAUCUGGUUUACUGGCUCAAUCCCAGGGCUUCACACCUGUUGAAUACACUGCUGGUGGUUUAAAUGUUGAUUCUUCAUCUGCAAUAACCAAUCAAAUUAGCGAAGGCAGUGGUUUUAAUGUUUUUCGGGAGGCUGAAGAUUCGAUGGAGUUAAGUCAGUCUUCGUUUGCCAAGGGUUCUUGCUCUCAGGAGGAGCAAAAUGAUGUGACUUUGGGAUCUCAUUUGCAUGUGCAUGAAUCUUUGUGUCCAGAUGGUUCCACUAAUGAUGGCAAUGGUGCUUCUGGUUUACCUGACAUUCAUCACCGCUUAUGCACUUCUGACAUGGAUCAAGAUAAACACUUGCAGGAAGGAAUGGAUUUGGAUAAACACUUGCAGCAUGAAUUCUCUCAAGGAACGGAUUUGCAUCUUGAUGUAGAUGAAGUGCCAAACAACUUUGUGAUAAAAGGUAGCCAGUCAUCUAAUGAGCUUGCAGUUCAAUUUCAUGACACAGAGAUUAUGAAUAGUUCAAAAAAUGAUGGAGUGUCUUUGGUACCACAUGCUAUAACACCAUGUGUUCCCAUCUUACCUAGUGUUUCUGGAUGUGUGCAUAACAUAAAUGUGAUAUACGAAAUGGGCAUAAAAAAUGAUAAUUGUUUCCAAUCUGAAAAGUGCCAGGAUAUUUCCAUUCAAUCAGGUGCAUACUCGUCUGAAGCUGCAGGCAGCUUUUUAGCACCACUUUACCCAUUGCAGACAUCUGAACCAGCAAUAAUGAUGGGUGGCCCUGUGUACUAUCAGAGUUCUGUAAUGUCAUUACCACCAGGCUUUAUUUCUUCUGAUGGUGCUUCUAAUGCAUCUGGUGUCAAAUCUGAGACAAGUUACUAUCCUGUUUCUCGCCAAAAUUUGGAGAUUAAAACUUGCCACAAUGCUUCUGGUGAUCCUGAACAAAAUUCAUAUAUUAGCAGCGAAGAUGACAGAAACAAGACUUCUGAACCUAUGGGCAGAAUAUCAGAAUCUGAAAAGAAACAGCAAGUUGAUGUUGAACAAUCAUGUUUGGAGCCUGCAGCCUGCAUUGGAAAGGAAGCAUUAUCUAGUCAUGGUGACACCAUAUUAAGUAAAAAGGAGGAUGCUGGAGCUCUAUGCUAUGAACCUCCUUGCUUUCGGAGUUUUGAAUUUCCCUUUGUCAGCUGUGAGCUUGUAAACUCCAGCGAUCUCCCAGAAUAUAGUCCUCUUGGCAUUCGAGAGUUGAUGAGGACAUCCUUGAACUUCCCUACCCCAGUAAGAUUGUGGGGCUCCCCUACUAGGGAUGGUAGCCCUGAUGCUGUGCUAAAGAAUGCUGCCAAAAGAUUCAUGUGCACCCCGUCCAUAAUGAAAAAAAGGCACAGAGAUCUUUUAUCUCCAGUUUCUGAUAUAAGAACUGACAAGAAACCAAAUACUGAAAGGGAUUUUAUGAGCUCAGGCAUAUCCUCUACAAGAGUUGGGAAAUCUUGCAUGGAUAGCGCUGAUGAUUCAGCUGAUUUAGUUUCACCGAAAGAGAGUGCAUUUCAAAAGAAGCUGAAGCUUUGUCACGAAAACAAAGAAAAUUUGAAUGAAAUUGCUGAUCAAGGAGAAAAUGAAGCCAAUGCAAAGCAUUCUUCAGGGAUUCUUACUCCGAGCAGUGUUGACAACCAUAAUACACAUAAGCAUGGUCCAAAUUUUCGAAUUCAGGAGCUAAAUACCACUGUACAGGCUUUGUCUAACUCUAAAGACAUAAUAUUUUCUAGAUCAAAGCCAUCAGAACAUGUUGAAAAAUCUGCAGCCUGCAUUGAUGCAGAUUACGAGUAUUUGAACAUAUUGGCUGAUACUCCAGGUAUUAAAAGAGGCUUAGAAUCUCCUUCUGCCUGGAAGUCUCCUGUGUUCACACCAUUCCAGGAUGCAUACUUCAUGAGCCCAGCAAGCAGAGCUUUUGAUGCCUUAGGAUUGGUGAAGCAGAUUAAUGAGCAGAGUGCUUCUGCUGUGGAGGAAGCACAUGAAGUUCUGGCAAAUGGAAGCCCAUGGAAACAACAUAACAAGGAAAACUCUGACAAAGAAAAUAUAGAAAAUACAGCUUUGAAGCAUGAGCAUGUCACAAGCAAACCUCCAUCGAUACUCAUGCCUAGUUCCAGUCUCCGGCUGUUAGAAAUAAGCAACAAGGAUUAUGGAUGCUAAUGCAAAUUCUCAGUGGCAAACUGGCAAUAAUCUAAGCCUAUCAGUAGACAUCAGUUUUGCAUGGAACAUCAAAUUCUAGUGGACAUAUCAAUUAGAUCAGUUGGGUAAUUCAUGUGGCCUAUGAUACCUGAACUUAUGUGGAGGAUGAAUGAAAUUGACAUUUUGAGGAAAUGGAAAACCAAGUGGCUUGUAGAGGCACGGGUGCUCGAUUUCAAUGAAUGCUCCACACCUGUGAGGAAGAAAGACGAUAAGAAAGUGGAAAUAGUUUUAGGAGGACCUGCAACAUCCCCUGUUACUUCCUCGCAUCUUUGGAUAAAUAUGCGGUAGCCCUUUGAGGUUGCGACAUCGCCUGGCGCUGGUUGCAAGUCACCAUGGGCAGCAUGCCGAUGCCGCGCCGACGCUCCCUUCCCCAGUCCCUAUCGCCACGCCGGUGUCACCACCGUCCGUUGGGAUUAGGGUUGCGUGUGCGUCAUGUCGCACGUCAGGCGUGCAGAGAGGCAACAACCCUCCAAUCAGGCUAAAGAUUGUUGGGUCCGAUGGGCCACAUGAUAGAGAAAGAGGCUGGUUGAUAUGAAAUUUUGGUCCAAAUAGCUAUAAAACAUUGUUGUUUUUUAUGUUUUUACAAUAUUUUAGUGUGUAUACAUUGC